UGAGGAAUAUUGGGCAAUGCCCGCAAGGGUGACCCAGCAACGCCGCGUGGAGGAUGAAUGUCGUAAGAUUGUAAACUCCUGUUAGAGGGGAAGAAUAGUACCGGUUGGACCGGUAUAUGACUGUACCCUCAGAGAAAGCCCCGGCUAACUACGUGCCAGCAGCCGCGGUAAUACGUAGGGGGCAAGCGUUGUCCGGAUUUACUGGGUGUAAAGGGCGCGCAGGCGGGAUAAAAAGUCAGUGGUGAAAUCCUACAGCUUAACUGUAGAUAUGCCUUGGAUACUUUGAUUCUUGAGUUCGGGAGAGAGAGACGGAAUUCCAGGUGUAGUGGUGAAAUACGUAGAUAUCUGGAAGAACACCAGUUGCGAAGGCGGUCUCUUGGUCCGACACUGACGCUGAGGCGCGAAAGCGUGGGGAGCAAAC
RNAcentral lists this ribosomal RNA (421 nucleotides) under uncultured bacterium. RNAcentral's name for it is "bacterial SSU rRNA". It matches the Rfam family "Bacterial small subunit ribosomal RNA", at positions 355 to 773 of the family's 1533-position model. The record is from RNAcentral.